GCUCAGGAUGAACGCUGGUAGGCGUGCCCUUAUACAUGCAAGUCGAACGAGUUCUGAUUAUUGAAAGGUGCUUGCAUCUUGAUUUAAUUUUGAACGAGUGGCGGACGGGUGAGUAACACGUGGGUAACCUGCCCUUAAGUGGGGGAUAACAUUUGGAAACAGAUGCUAAUACCGCAUAAAUCCAAGAACCGCAUGGUUCUUGGCUGAAAGAUGGCGUAAGCUAUCGCUUUUGGAUGGACCCGCGGCGUAUUAGCUAGUUGGUGAGGUAACGGCUCACCAAGGCAAUGAUACGUAGCCGAACUGAGAGGUUGAUCGGCCACAUUGGGACUGAGACACGGCCCAAACUCCUACGGGAGGCAGCAGUAGGGAAUCUUCCACAAUGGACGCAAGUCUGAUGGAGCAACGCCGCGUGAGUGAAGAAGGCUUUCGGGUCGUAAAACUCUGUUGUUGGAGAAGAAUGGUCGGCAGAGUAACUGUUGUCGGCGUGACGGUAUCCAACCAGAAAGCCACGGCUAACUACGUGCCAGCAGCCGCGGUAAUACGUAGGUGGCAAGCGUUAUCCGGAUUUAUUGGGCGUAAAGCGAGCGCAGGCGGUUUUUUAAGUCUGAUGUGAAAGCCCUCGGCUUAACCGAGGAAGUGCAUCGGAAACUGGGAAACUUGAGUGCAGAAGAGGACAGUGGAACUCCAUGUGUAGCGGUGAAAUGCGUAGAUAUAUGGAAGAACACCAGUGGCGAAGGCGGCUGUCUGGUCUGUAACUGACGCUGAGGCUCGAAAGCAUGGGUAGCGAACAGGAUUAGAUACCCUGGUAGUCCAUGCCGUAAACGAUGAAUGCUAGGUGUUGGAGGGUUUCCGCCCUUCAGUGCCGCAGCUAACGCAUUAAGCAUUCCGCCUGGGGAGUACGACCGCAAGGUUGAAACUCAAAGGAAUUGACGGGGGCCCGCACAAGCGGUGGAGCAUGUGGUUUAAUUCGAAGCAACGCGAAGAACCUUACCAGGUCUUGACAUCUUUUGAUCACCUGAGAGAUCAGGUUUCCCCUUCGGGGGCAAAAUGACAGGUGGUGCAUGGUUGUCGUCAGCUCGUGUCGUGAGAUGUUGGGUUAAGUCCCGCAACGAGCGCAACCCUUAUGACUAGUUGCCAGCAUUUAGUUGGGCACUCUAGUAAGACUGCCGGUGACAAACCAGAGGAAGGUGGGGAUGACGUCAAAUCAUCAUGCCCCUUAUGACCUGGGCUACACACGUGCUACAAUGGAUGGUACAACGAGUUGCGAGACCGCGAGGUCAAGCUAAUCUCUUAAAGCCAUUCUCAGUUCGGACUGUAGGCUGCAACUCGCCUACACGAAGUCGGAAUCGCUAGUAAUCGCGGAUCACACGCGCGGGGGAAUACCUUCCCGGGCCUUGUACACACCGCCCGUCACACCAUGAGAGUUUGUAACACCCGAAGCCCGUGGCGUAACCCUUUUAAGGAACGAGCCCUCUAAAGUGGGACAA
Molecule: ribosomal RNA, 1487 nt
Filed under: Lacticaseibacillus rhamnosus
Lineage: Bacteria; Bacillati; Bacillota; Bacilli; Lactobacillales; Lactobacillaceae
Description: bacterial SSU rRNA
Rfam family: Bacterial small subunit ribosomal RNA
Source: RNAcentral